RNAcentral lists this long non-coding RNA (535 nucleotides) under Carica papaya (papaya). RNAcentral describes it as "long non-coding RNA (CPAP_LNC007614)". The record is from RNAcentral. Lineage: Eukaryota; Viridiplantae; Streptophyta; Magnoliopsida; Brassicales; Caricaceae.
CCAGAACGGCUGAAUAUUUCUUGAGCUUUAGUACCAAUAAGUGCUACUUGAUCUCUAGGCGGAGGCUCCACUGGAUCCUCCUAGCCUUCCUGCUCUCAUCUAUCAAUGUCUCAGGGGAGUAUCGGCCUAGCUCUAGGAACUUAUGAGCAUAUUCCGAUACCGUCAUGUUUCCCUAGACCAGCUGGACAAACUCCAUCUCCUUUAGAUGUCGGAUGUGCUCGGGGAGGUACUCCGCAUGAAAGGCUGCUAAGAACUUAUUUCAAGUGACUGGUGUAGGAAGGGUGGUCUGCUUGAGCUCCCACCAAUGACCUGCUUCCCCCACCAGCAUGUAGGAAGCAAGGGUAACCCUUUACUCGGAAACCACUCCAAAUGUCUUGAAAGCCUUCUCUGUCUCCGCCAACCAGUACUGGGCAUCUUCGAAAGAGGACUCCCCUGCAAAAGUGGAAGGGUUCAGUCUCCUGUACCUCUCUAUGUAGCCCGGGUCAAUCAGGGAAGGAGUUGGGUCUCGUGGAAGAGGGACUGGGCCGAGCUGAGG